Molecule: ribosomal RNA, 253 nt
Filed under: uncultured bacterium
Lineage: Bacteria
Description: partial 16S ribosomal RNA
Rfam family: Bacterial small subunit ribosomal RNA
Source: RNAcentral
UACAGAGACUGCAAGCGUUAUUCGGCUUCACUGGGCGUAAAGGGUGCGCAGGCGGCCGAGUGUGUGAGGCGUGAAAGCCCGGGGCUUAACCCCGGAAUUGCACCUCAAACUACACGGCUAGAGCAUUGGAGAGGGUAGCAGAAUUCAUGGUGUAGCAGUGAAAUGCGUAGAGAUCGUAAGGAAGACCAGUGGCGAAGGCGAGUUUCUGGACAGUAACUGACGCUGAGGCACGAAGGCCAGGGGAGCAAACGGG